This 421-nucleotide ribosomal RNA is filed under the name uncultured bacterium. RNAcentral's name for it is "bacterial SSU rRNA". It matches the Rfam family "Bacterial small subunit ribosomal RNA", at positions 355 to 776 of the family's 1533-position model. The record is from RNAcentral.
UAGGGAAUUUUGCGCAAUGGGGGAAACCCUGACGCAGCAACGCCAUGUGUGGGAUGAAGCAUUUCGGUGUGUAAACCACUGUCAGCGGGGACUAAAAGCGGCCUUUGGCCGCCGUGAAUGUACCCGCAAAGGAAGCCCCGGCUAACUUCGUGCCAGCAGCCGCGGUAAUACGAGGGGGGCGAGUGUUGUUCGGAAUCACUGGGCGUAAAGGGAGCGUAGGCGGGAGCCUAAGUUGGGUGUUUAAUUCCGGGGCCCAACCCCGGGCGUGCACUCAAAACUGGGUUUCUUGAAUAGGGGAGAGGUCGAUGGAAUUGGAGGUGUAGCGGUGGAAUGCGUAGAGAUCUCCAAGAACACCGGUUGCGAAGGCGGUCGACUGGACCCAUAUUGACGCUGAGGCUCGAAAGCGUGGGGAGCAAACAGG